Molecule: ribosomal RNA, 203 nt
Filed under: Clostridioides difficile
Lineage: Bacteria; Bacillati; Bacillota; Clostridia; Peptostreptococcales; Peptostreptococcaceae
Description: partial 16S ribosomal RNA
Rfam family: Bacterial small subunit ribosomal RNA
Source: RNAcentral
AGGUAACGGCUUACCAAGGCGACGAUCAGUAGCCGACCUGAGAGGGUGAUCGGCCACAUUGGAACUGAGACACGGUCCAAACUCCUACGGGAGGCAGCAGGGGGGAAUAUUGCACAAUGGGCGAAAGCCUGAUGCAGCAACGCCGCGUGAGUGAUGAAGGCCUUCGGGUCGUAAAACUCUGUCCUCAAGGAAGAUAAUGACGG